Molecule: long non-coding RNA, 1488 nt
Filed under: Panax ginseng (ginseng)
Lineage: Eukaryota; Viridiplantae; Streptophyta; Magnoliopsida; Apiales; Araliaceae
Description: long non-coding RNA (PGIN_LNC011699)
Source: RNAcentral
ACAAGACAUGAUUAGUCUAUAGAACAUUUUGGAAAUGCAUAAUAUUAUUGAGCUACAUAAAUAUUUUUGUUAAUUCAUGGAACACCAUGUAGGAUUUUUUUUAUUACUAUUAUUAUCACUUUAAAUUUUAGAACCUGUACUAUUACAAUUUAUGUUAGGGAACUGAUAUUUUCGCAUGAUACGUGAAUAGUGGGCAGGUCCCACCUCCAUCUCUGGAAAAAAGAAAAAGAAAAAUGCACUACUAUUUCCUAGUUGAGAAUUGGUCUCCAUUGGCAUUUCUUGAUCAUUUCUUCAGUUCCCCCAUUGCUUUCAUUGGCAACAUGUUGUAAGAAUUCUUGGUGCCCAGUUGCCCACAUCUUCAAGUCAUAACAUAACAUAUAGAAGAAGUUAUUAUAUGCAUAAUUAAUGCAUAAUAAUUAAAGGAAAUUGAUAUUUUUACAUGAUUUCUCACAUAAAAUAUGAAUGGAUCCUACUUCUAUGUGAGAGAAACUCGUAUAAAAAUAUCAUUAUUUUAAAAAUAUAAAAAUAUCAGCUUUCAAACUCGUUGGACUAAAUAGUAAAUAGCACUCACAUAUUGUUGGGACGUUCCUAUUAAGUGCAACACGUCCAAAUCAGGUAAAUGGACAUCAGCAAGGAUAAUAUCAACUUUGUCCCCUGAUUACAAAUUCAAUAAAAUAAUAAAUAAAUAAUAACGCAAUUAUCGAAGGACAUAAAUAUAAAUAUAUAUAUAUAUAUAUAUAUAUAUAUAUAACUAUUUAAUAAAAUAAAUAUAUACCUGAACUAAUAUUAUGUCAAUGAAAUGUCAUGAACAACGAUCAGAUCUGCAUGCGAAAAUUAUACGUGCAUAAAAAUUAAUAUUUAACAGUACACCAUAAUUAAUUACUGCAAAAAUGAAUUAUUUUGCCUAAAAAAGGCUAGCUUAUAAUAAUAAAAAAAUAACUAAAAACAUACACAACUUUUGUGGAUGAAACAAUUUAAUUUUGGUAAACACAAUUUAUGAAUUUAAAGAAAAAUGAACACAUGCAUGAUGCAUCAUCAUACAAGUAAAACCAUGUAAAUAUGUAUACUUACUAGAUCUACUGAAAUCAAAGAAGAAAUUCAUUGAUAAUAAUUCCUUCUUCCUUCCUUGAUCUAUUUAAUUAAUUUGAUACAUGCAUCUUAAAUAAGAUUAUUAGAUCUUGCAAAUAAAUAAUUUGUAAAUAUAAUAAAAAUAAUUAAAAAAGAUGUAUGGUACUAUAAAAUGAUGACUAUGGAUAUGAUGAUAUAUAAUAUAUGUACAAAAAAAAAAUAUUUGUGGUGUAGUGAAUCAAGAUGAAGGGUUUUUGGUGAAGUACUAAGAAAGUAGGAGAGGCAGAAUGAAAACUAAAAUCCCUAAAUCUUCAAUUUAUAGUGUACAAGAUAAAUGAUCCAAGGGUGUAGAACAAAACCCUAGAUCUUUUGGUGUAAAAAUACAGAUAAUCAGAAGAUCAACGGCUAGGACCAUAGGUU